This is an RNA transcript of Quercus lobata, 1349 nucleotides long. It is a transcript of the gene named myb family transcription factor PHL6-like, with no coding region annotated. The record is from RefSeq and is a predicted model, not a curated record. Lineage: Eukaryota; Viridiplantae; Streptophyta; Magnoliopsida; Fagales; Fagaceae. The transcript has 6 exons.
AUGAAACGGUGGAUGAAGUGGAGUCAGUCAUAUUAUGCUACCGACUAUUAAGUAAAUAAUUUUUUGACUGAUGAAUCAGAGAUUCAGAAUACAAGAGUUUAUCUGCUAGUGAGUGUUCAUUUUCACAUCCAUCGCCUUUCAUUUGAACAAAAUCUCUUAGUUCUCCUACUCAUACCUGAGCAUCUACUGUCCAGCCUCAAAAGCAUUUUUUGAAAUCUGGAUCAAAUAGUUCUCUGUCUCCUAGUUCUUAUGUCCAAAACUCUAAGAGCACAUUUUCAUGUUCAUCCAUGUUCUGAUUCAGCUUAUACCAGUCUUCUUCUUUAAGCUCUGAAAGCCAUUGGCAGCUUGGAAAUCUCCCAUCUCUUCCACAUCCUCCAUCCUUCAACCAGUCUAUUUCUGCACAUGAUUCAAAAGCUCCAUUAGUUAUUAGUGGGGAUUUAGACAAUCUAUAUGAUGAGAAGAAUUCAGAGGUUCAUAUGAUAGACUUUCUUAAUUUUUCUGGAGAUGCUUCUAAAAUUAGAUGGCCUUCACAGUGUAAGUUGUGCAAGCGACAUUUUUACAGAGCAACUGGAGCUACAGUUUUUGUCUGAUGAACUAUCACUGACCAUGGAGAAAAUCCUCAGCUUGAAAGGCUACUCCAAAGGGCGUAUUGAAGCAUAUGCAUGUUGAAGGUUUGACCGUCUAUCAUGUGAAAAGCCACUUACAGAAAUACUGAUUUGCCAAGUAUACGCCCGAGAGAAAAGAAGCUAAGGAACAAAAAAGUGGAAAUAAAAGAGGUCCAAAGGGCCCUUCAGCUGGCAUAGAGGAAAAUGCAAGGUACUUGCAGAAGAUCUUGGCUGAACAAUAGAAAGCUGGCAUUGCCUUAAUUGCUCCUCCAACCUUGUCAUCGCUGACUAAUCCAUGCCAAGAUUUUGAAUUGCGGCCUUCUCCAUCAGCUGGUGCAUCACCUACACAUCCAGCUGUAUCUAAAAUGGAUUCAUCUUCACCUCUGUAAUCCAAGUAUAAAGCUACUGAUAGUAGUGAUUCUAAGCAACAAGUAUGCUCAAAAGGACCAACAUAUGGAAGAGAAACAAGAAUCCCGUUCAGAUAAAGGUAGUGGCUGAAAAUGAAGUGUAAUAUUUGGACUACUUCAGUUAUGCUGCUUGUUAUCUCCAACAUUUGCAUCAUCUCCACAAUGACCCAACUAUUGUAAAUCCGUCAAACGCAUGUAAUGUUUUGGCUGAACUGAAACAAGAGAUUCCAAAUACCAAUCAUAAAGAAAUUUGAUUGGUGAUAGUAUCUCUUGAUUCUCUUCAUAAGUAACAUUUUAGUUUUUUGAAUAAAAGAGAUUCAGAGGCCUUUCAGCUGAA